UACGAAGGGGGCUAGCGUUGUUCGGAAUUACUGGGCGUAAAGGGCGCGUAAGCUGUGCUGUAAGUCAGGCGUGAAAUCCCCGGGCUCAACCUGGGAAUUGCGUUUGAUACUGCGGCGCUGGAAUGCAGGAGAGGAUGGCGGAAUUCCCAGUGUAGAGGUGAAAUUCGUAGAUAUUGGGAAGAACACCGGUGGCGAAGGCGGCUCUCUGGACCGAUACUGACGCUGAGGCGCGAAAGCGUGGGGAGCAAACAGG
This 253-nucleotide ribosomal RNA is filed under the name uncultured bacterium. Its description in RNAcentral is "partial 16S ribosomal RNA". It matches the Rfam family "Bacterial small subunit ribosomal RNA", at positions 524 to 776 of the family's 1533-position model. The record is from RNAcentral.